Molecule: ribosomal RNA, 444 nt
Filed under: uncultured bacterium
Lineage: Bacteria
Description: bacterial SSU rRNA
Rfam family: Bacterial small subunit ribosomal RNA
Source: RNAcentral
UAAGGAAUAUUGGUCAAUGGACGAAAGUCUGAACCAGCCAUGCCGCGUGAAGGAUUAAGGUCCUCUGGAUUGUAAACUUCUUUUAUCUGGGACGAAAAAAGGCGAUUCUUCGUCACUUGACGGUACCAGAUGAAUAAGCACCGGCUAACUCCGUGCCAGCAGCCGCGGUAAUACGGAGGGUGCAAGCGUUAUCCGGAUUCACUGGGUUUAAAGGGUGCGUAGGCGGGCAGGUAAGUCAGUGGUGAAAUCCUUGAGCUUAACUCGAGAACUGCCAUUGAUACUAUCUGUCUUGAAUAUUGUGGAGGUAAGCGGAAUAUGUCAUGUAGCGGUGAAAUGCUUAGAUAUGACAUAGAACACCUAUUGCGAAGGCAGCUUACUACGCAUAUAUUGACGCUGAGGCACGAAAGCGUGGGGAUCAAACAGGAUUAGAUACCCCGGUAGUCC